Molecule: small nuclear RNA, 109 nt
Organism: Cebus imitator (Panamanian white-faced capuchin)
Lineage: Eukaryota; Metazoa; Chordata; Mammalia; Primates; Cebidae
Source: Ensembl
GUGGUCUUCACUUCAGCAGCACUUAGGUUAAAACUGAAACAUACAGAGAAGAUUAGCAUGUUCCCUGUGCAGGGAUGGCGUGCAAAUGUGUGAAGUGUUCUAUAUUUUU